UUAGAUCUGGCUCUGUUUUUUGAUUGGUGGUUGUUUGAUGAUGUUUUGGAUUGUUAGAACGUUGAAAUUACUAAUUCAGUAUCUUGUGAAAUCUGAGAUGAUGUGUGUUUUCUGAGUGAAUAAUAUUGGGAUCUGUUUGGUUGUUGUGGGGACAGGUGCAACUUCAUUCCUAUUCACGGAGUACAAAUAUGUUGGUGUCUUCAUGAUUUUCUUUGCUGCUGUUAUCUUUGUUUUCCUCGGCUCUGUUGAGGGAUUCAGCACUGAUAACAAGCCUUGUACUUACGACACCACCAGAACCUGCAAGCCUGCAUUGGCUACUGCAGCUUUCAGUACCAUUGCUUUCGUGCUUGGUGCUGUUACCUCUGUUCUAUCUGGUUUCCUUGGGAUGAAGAUUGCUACAUACGCUAAUGCUAGGACCACUUUGGAGGCGAGGAAAGGUGUUGGAAAGGCGUUCAUUGUU
Molecule: long non-coding RNA, 460 nt
Filed under: Arabidopsis thaliana (thale cress)
Lineage: Eukaryota; Viridiplantae; Streptophyta; Magnoliopsida; Brassicales; Brassicaceae
Description: long non-coding RNA (ATHA_LNC000122)
Source: RNAcentral